UACGUAGGGGGCAAGCGUUGUCCGGAUUUAUUGGGCGUAAAGAGCGUGUAGGCGGCCGUACAGGUCAGCUGUGAAAACUCGAGGCUCAACCUCGAGACGUCGGUUGAAACCGUACGGCUAGAGUCCGGAAGAGGAGAGUGGAAUUCCCGGUGUGGCGGUGAAAUGCGCAGAUAUCGGGAAGAACACCCGUGGCGAAGGCGGGUCCCUGGGCCGUAACUGACGCUGAGGAGCGAAAGCGUGGGGAGCGAACAGG
Molecule: ribosomal RNA, 253 nt
Filed under: uncultured bacterium
Lineage: Bacteria
Description: partial 16S ribosomal RNA
Rfam family: Bacterial small subunit ribosomal RNA
Source: RNAcentral